GACAAAAGUACUCAACAAGUCCAACCCCAUCCACGAAGGGGGAUACAAUCAAGAAUAUGCACAGGAUAUAUCAAGGAUAAGGCUCGGGUUUAUUUGCCAUAUAGGUUUUUCAACACAUGCGAGGGUUCAUUUUCAAAAGGGUUUUCACAAAACAUUUUCUUUAGUAACCGAAUCAUUAGGUGGGGUUGAUCCUACACAAAGGAUCCAAGUUUUCAACAUACUGGUCUACCCAUCCGCGGAAGCUCAUGGCACAACUGCCGGACACUUCCAAAAUCCAACUCACACCAUGAAAACCAUUCAUCACCCAAACACUAGUUAUGUGUCCAAGCCGUAACUCGUCCAAUGCCGUGUACACGACUACCCGGAUAGGUUUUCACUCUACAGAGGUUGUAUACUUUACCCACAAGUAGGGUACCACAGCACGAUCACCUUAGUGUCAUUACAGAUCCUAUCAAAGUCAUUACCCACCUUAGCUAAGACUGACUAGCCAACACGAAAGCAACCAAGGGGAUAAUGACCUACCAAGGAGGUCUUAACUGGGAUCUAAGUUCACACAAUUUUUAGUCCUUCUCCAUGGUCUCCCGUUGCUCACCAGCUCUCCUGAUGGCUAACAGACCAGCUACUGGGAUUUAUGCUAAGCCGCCGCCCACACAACGGUCGAGUGGUUGCAUGAUAGUUGGGUUAGGCAAGAUGGCACAUCAACUCGGUCCUUAACUGUGAUAAGAUGGAUAUCUCCCAACCUUGCUCAGCCACCAAGGUACGAGCCCAACUCAUUGGCAUUUCACACAAGAAACACC
Molecule: long non-coding RNA, 797 nt
Filed under: Setaria viridis
Lineage: Eukaryota; Viridiplantae; Streptophyta; Magnoliopsida; Poales; Poaceae
Description: long non-coding RNA (SVIR_LNC009329)
Source: RNAcentral